GAAAGAUCUCAGAUGAACAAUAUAAAAAGAAAAAGAAGUAAAUUCAACUCAAAAACAGAAGGAAGGAAAAAUAAAGAGCAGAAAUCAAUUUUAAAAAACGGGAAAACUAUAGAGAAAAAUCAAUGAAAGCAAAAGCUGGUUCUUUGAAGAGAUCAGUAAAAUUGAUCAACCUCUAACCAAAAUGACCAAUGAUACUUACACAGGAUUAUAACGCCUGUAGGCUGCAAAGAGUCAGGACAAGUUCAUUCACCCUUAAUGGCCACUCUUUCACUUCUCAGCCUGUUCCGUUGGAAGCCAAAUUUUGAACUGAGACCAAAUAAAGUACAGGGGAUGGUCCAUGUGAUUUCUUUGAACCACCAACUCUAAAGUCAUUGAUCCUCGCCUUUAUCCAAAACAAAAAUUUUAUUAGUAAAUAUUUCACCUAUAAUUAACAUGGAAGAUUACACAUAAACAGUGUUUAGUAUACAAAUUAUACAUUAUAGUCUUAAUUCUAGCACUUUGUAGCUUGUCUCUUUCAUCUGGUUUAAAAGGAAGAGAAGGAAAGAAGUGUGGAACGCAAUCUAAAUUGUUCAAAUUUAUGGCUGUUACAAUAUAUCAUUCCUCAAAUUAGUGGAUUCCUAAUGGAGAAAGUUUUGACUAGACUUUCACCUGGUUAACUAUUUUAAUCAGGGCCCCACAUUAUCAGCUUUCACCCGGUUAGCCUAUUUCCAUCAGGGCAGUGCAAAGUGGUUUGGUUUGGAUGGAGAGCCAAUAUAGUGGAGUAGAAAGAAUACUGACUAAGGAGUCAGAAGACCCAGGCUCUAAUUUCAACGUUGGCAUGACACUGCAUCAGUGUAUAGCUCAAUUCCUUGGAUAUUCCCCCACCUUGGGGGAAAAAAAUGGAGUCACAUUUAUAUAAAAAUGGAAAGAACAGCAAGGGAAAAUGAAUUUAGCUUAGUUACUUAAAAUACACAACUGGUGGCCAGCUCCGUGGCCAAGUGGUUAAGUUCGCGCACUAUGCUGCAGCGGCCCAGGGUUUGGAUCCUGGGCUCGGACAUGGCACUGCUCUUCAGGCCACAUUGAGGCGGCGUCCCACAUCCCACAACUAGAAGGACCUGCAACUAAGAUAUACAACUGGGUAUGGG
This 1124-nucleotide long non-coding RNA is filed under the name Equus asinus (donkey). Its description in RNAcentral is "lncRNA (ENSEASG00005036979.1)". Lineage: Eukaryota; Metazoa; Chordata; Mammalia; Perissodactyla; Equidae. The record is from RNAcentral.